Pseudophryne corroboree (corroboree frog) is the source of this 569-nucleotide long non-coding RNA. RefSeq lists it as uncharacterized. The record is from RefSeq and is a predicted model, not a curated record. NCBI's taxonomy places the organism in Eukaryota, Metazoa, Chordata, Amphibia, Anura, Myobatrachidae. The transcript has 3 exons.
AAAUUGGGAAACUGGUUGACUCAUGGACAUUUUAUUGUACUUAAACUAGUACUAUGCUUAAUGAUAGUCUUUUGUGUUUUUUAGAUCAUCUGGCAAAGAGAUUUGCAGAGUGUCGGGUGACCGGCAAAGAGAUCUGCAAAGUGUCAGUUGAAGAUGACGGGAGGGGUCGUAGAGGUAGCAACGACUGGAGUAUAACAUGCAGAAGAUCAUCAUUUGGCAAAGUUCUGGCAAAGAGAUUUGCAGAGUGUCGGGUGACCGGCAAAGAGAUCUGCAAAGUGUCAGUUGAAGACGAUGGGAGGGGUCGCAGAGGAUUAGUGACUGGAGAAUAGCAUGCAGGAGUGGGUGAUCCCUGAAUAGCUGCCCUGGGAGGAGAGCUGCGGACACAUGCUCCAAAUGUUGGGACAUAUGCAUUACCUAUUAGGAGAUGCGGUAAAGAUACCGGCUGUCGGGUUUACGGCAGUCAGAAUACUGACACUGGGAUCCCGACACUCUUCAGAAUCCCGACGUUGGAACUCCGAAUGGAAAAGGAUUCCAAUGCCCAUUAUCCCCACGAUCAUAGCUUUAGGGCU